CCUACGGGAGGCUGCAGUAGGGAAUCUUCCACAAUGGACGAACGUCUGAUGGAGCAACGCCGCGUGAGUGAAGAAGGGUUUCGGCUCGUAAAGCUCUGUUGGUAGUGAAGAAAGAUAGAGGUAGUAACUGGCCUUUAUUUGACGGUAAUUACUUAGAAAGUCACGGCUAACUACGUGCCAGCAGCCGCGGUAAUACGUAGGUGGCAAGCGUUGUCCGGAUUUAUUGGGCGUAAAGCGAGUGCAGGCGGUUCAAUAAGUCUGAUGUGAACGGCCUGGGCUUAACCGGGGAAUUGCAUCAGAAACUGUUGAACUAGAGGGCAGAAGAGGAGGGUGGAACGCCAGGUGUAGCGGUGGAAUGCGUAGAUAUAUGGAAGAACACCAGUGGCGAAGGCGGCUCUCUGGUCUGCAACUGACGCUGAGGCACGAAAGCAUGGGGAGCGAACAGGAUUAGAUACCCCAGUAGUC
RNAcentral lists this ribosomal RNA (465 nucleotides) under uncultured bacterium. Its description in RNAcentral is "partial 16S ribosomal RNA". It matches the Rfam family "Bacterial small subunit ribosomal RNA", at positions 338 to 795 of the family's 1533-position model. The record is from RNAcentral.